Non-coding RNA from Globicephala melas (long-finned pilot whale), 399 nucleotides. Lineage: Eukaryota; Metazoa; Chordata; Mammalia; Artiodactyla; Delphinidae. The record is from the annotation of a RefSeq genome assembly.
AUGGUCACCAGGCUCUUCUUCGGCAUGGCUUUUUAUCUCCUGUGGGCAGGACCUGUGGAGGCCGGGAUCACCCAGAAACCAAGACACAAGAUCACAGUGACAGGAGAGACAGUGACUCUGGAAUGUCACCAGACUGAUAACCGUGACUAUAUGUACUGGUACCGACAAGACCUGGGACACGGGCUGAGGCUGAUCCAUUACUCCAAUAGUGUUGACAACAUUGAGAAAGGAGAAAUCCCUGAUGGGUACAACGUCUCGAGAUCAAAUACAGAGGAUUUCCCCCUGACCCUGGAGUCUGUUAUCCCCUCCCGGACAUCUGUGUACUUCUGUGCCAGCAGUGCAUCGGGAGGCAUUGGUUUUGGAUGGAGAAGCAGAUCGGGGGUUUUUGUAUUUAAUUAA